RNAcentral lists this ribosomal RNA (465 nucleotides) under Vreelandella stevensii. RNAcentral's name for it is "partial 16S ribosomal RNA". It matches the Rfam family "Bacterial small subunit ribosomal RNA", at positions 338 to 795 of the family's 1533-position model. The record is from RNAcentral. Lineage: Bacteria; Pseudomonadati; Pseudomonadota; Gammaproteobacteria; Oceanospirillales; Halomonadaceae.
CCUACGGGAGGCAGCAGUGGGGAAUAUUGGACAAUGGGGGCAACCCUGAUCCAGCCAUGCCGCGUGUGUGAAGAAGGCCCUCGGGUUGUAAAGCACUUUCAGUGAGGAAGAACGCCUGGUGGUUAAUACCCAUCAGGAAAGACAUCACUCACAGAAGAAGCACCGGCUAACUCCGUGCCAGCAGCCGCGGUAAUACGGAGGGUGCGAGCGUUAAUCGGAAUUACUGGGCGUAAAGCGCGCGUAGGUGGCUUGAUAAGCCGGUUGUGAAAGCCCCGGGCUCAACCUGGGAACGGCAUCCGGAACUGUCAAGCUAGAGUGCAGGAGAGGAAGGUAGAAUUCCCGGUGUAGCGGUGAAAUGCGUAGAGAUCGGGAGGAAUACCAGUGGCGAAGGCGGCCUUCUGGACUGACACUAACACUGAGGUGCGAAAGCGUGGGUAGCAAACAGGAUUAGAUACCCUUGUAGUC